AACGAACGCUGGCGGCGCGCCUAAUACAUGCAAGUCGAGCGAGAAGACGUAGCAAUACGUUUGUAAAGCGGCGAACGGGUGAGGAAUACAUGGGUAACCUACCCUAGAGUGGGGAAUAACUAGCCGAAAGGUUAGCUAAUACCGCGUACGCUCCUUGGACUUCGGUUCAGGGAGGAAAGCGAUGCCGAGGGUAUCGCGCUCUUGGAUGGGCUCAUGUCCUAUCAGCUUGUUGGUGAGGUAACGGCUCACCAAGGCUUCGACGGGUAGCUGGUCUGAGAGGACGAUCAGCCACACUGGCACUGCGACACGGGCCAGACUCCUACGGGAGGCAGCAGUAAGGAAUAUUGCGCAAUGGGCGAAAGCCUGACGC
This 370-nucleotide ribosomal RNA is filed under the name uncultured bacterium. RNAcentral's name for it is "bacterial SSU rRNA". It matches the Rfam family "Bacterial small subunit ribosomal RNA", at positions 29 to 389 of the family's 1533-position model. The record is from RNAcentral.